CCAUUUGUAGUGUGCUUUUCGCAGAUUCAGCCAUUUCGUCGCCGCCUUUGUUGACGGCGACGAAUUGGAAAGGAUCCGAGGAUUUCUGUCCCGGUCCUCGUAGCAUUUUUGCUCCGGGUCUGCAAAUUUCAUUUACUAAGAAAAUAUAA
Non-coding RNA from Caenorhabditis elegans, 149 nucleotides. Lineage: Eukaryota; Metazoa; Nematoda; Chromadorea; Rhabditida; Rhabditidae. The record is from Ensembl.